RNAcentral lists this ribosomal RNA (253 nucleotides) under uncultured bacterium. RNAcentral describes it as "partial 16S ribosomal RNA". It matches the Rfam family "Bacterial small subunit ribosomal RNA", at positions 524 to 776 of the family's 1533-position model. The record is from RNAcentral.
UACGGGGGGGGCAAGCGUUGUUCGGAAUUACUGGGCGUAAAGGGCUCGUAGGCGGCCAACUAAGUCAGACGUGAAAUCCCUCAGCUUAACUGGGGAACUGCGUCUGAUACUGGAUGGCUUGAGUUUGGGAGAGGGACGCGGAAUUCCAGGUGUAGCGGUGAAAUGCGUAGAUAUCUGGAGGAACGCCGGUGGCGAAGGCGGCGUCCUGGACCAACACUGACACUGAUGAGCGAAAGCCAGGGGAGCAAACGGG